GAUGAACGCUGACAGAAUGCUUAACACAUGCAAGUCAACUUGAACUUCGGUUUGGGUGGCGGACGGGUGAGUAACGCGUACAGAACUUGCCUCACAGCUAGGGACAACAUUUGGAAACGAAUGCUAAUACCUGAUAUUAUGAUUAUAUGGCAUCGUAUAAUUAUGAAAGCUAUAUGCGCUGUGAGAGAGCUUUGCGUCCCAUUAGCUAGUUGGAGAGGUAACAGCUCACCAAGGCGAUGAUGGGUAGCCGGCCUGAGAGGGUGAUCGGCCACAAGGGGACUGAGACACGGCCCUUACUCCUACGGGAGGCAGCAGUGGGGAAUAUUGGACAAUGGACCGAGAGUCUGAUCCAGCAAUUCUGUGUGUACGAUGAAGUUUUUCGGAAUGUAAAGUGCUUUCAGUUGGGAAGAAAAAAAUGACGGUACCAACAGAAGAAGUGAUGGCUAAAUACGUG
This 454-nucleotide ribosomal RNA is filed under the name uncultured bacterium. RNAcentral's name for it is "partial 16S ribosomal RNA". It matches the Rfam family "Bacterial small subunit ribosomal RNA", at positions 28 to 507 of the family's 1533-position model. The record is from RNAcentral.